AAGCGUUCAUAAUGGUCAAGCAAUAAAAUAUGUACUUACAUUAUGUAUAUACAACAAUGAAUUAAUCUGUUUGUUUCUAAUAUUGUGCAUGCAUAAAACGUGGAAUCAUGCAGAAUAUUGGUUAAUAUUGGAGCGUGUGGCAUAGCUGAUCUAGUUAUAAUACAUUUGAGAAAGUUUGAAUUUUCAAGCAUAAAAGGGUAUUCAUCUUUAACUUUAUAAAAGAUUCUAUGAAAGUAUAAUCUUACUUUUUUUUUGUCAAUGGCCCUAACUACUUAUUUUUAUAUUCCUAAUUGAAGAUGAUGAUCACUAAACGGGGACUUUAUUUAAAAAAUUGAAAAUCCAAGACACUUAAAUAGCGAUUUUGUCUAAAGUUGUAUUAUUCUCAAUAAAGGUAGUAAUUUUACACGCAUCAAUGCUCGACUCUUUUUGCAUGAUGUUUAAAGAACCUAAAUACAAUUCUCUCAAGUCAAUGUUUACACAUAUAUAUAAAUAUAUAUAUAU
RNAcentral lists this long non-coding RNA (501 nucleotides) under Mytilus galloprovincialis (Mediterranean mussel). The record is from RNAcentral. Lineage: Eukaryota; Metazoa; Mollusca; Bivalvia; Mytilida; Mytilidae.